GAUGAACGCUGGCGGCGUGCCUAAUACAUGCAAGUCGAGCGAUCAGACUAGGUGCUUGCUCCUCUUUGGUGAGCGGCGGACGGGUGAGUAACACGUGGAGAACCUGCCUUUAAGCGGGGGAUAACAUCUGGAAACGAAAGCUAAUACCGCAUAAUAUCUUUAACCAUAUGUUUUAAGAUUGAAAGAUGCAUUUGCUUCACUCAAUGAUGAUCCCGCGUUGUCUUAGCUUGUUGGUAAGGUAAAGGCCUACAAAGGGAAGGAUACGUAGCCGACCUGAAAGGGUGACCGGCAAAACGGGAACUGGGCACGGGCCCAACCUCCUACGGGAGGAGGAAUAAGGGAAUUUUGCGAAAUGGGGGAAAGCCUGACGGAGAAAGGCCGGGUGAGUAAUGAAGGUCUUCGAAUGUAAAACCCCUGUUAUAGGGGAAGACGAUAUGUGGAAGUGAAAACGCACCAAGUGACGGUAACUACUCAGAAAGGGACGGCUAACUACGUG
This 496-nucleotide ribosomal RNA is filed under the name uncultured bacterium. RNAcentral describes it as "partial 16S ribosomal RNA". It matches the Rfam family "Bacterial small subunit ribosomal RNA", at positions 28 to 507 of the family's 1533-position model. The record is from RNAcentral.